GAAACGCGAUAGUUAAUGUGAAUUGCAGAAUUCAGUGAAUCAUCGAGUCUUUGAACGCACAUUGCGCCCAUAGGUAUUCCUUUGGGCAUGUCUGUUUGAGCGUCAUUACAACCCUCAGCUAACCGCUGGUUUUGAACCUGAACGGGUGACACCGCGCCGGUUUUAAAGUUGUAAGCUCUGCUGGCCGCUCUGCCCAACAAGAACAUAGUAAGCACUACUUGUCCGGGUGAAGCUGAACGGUACGGCCUGAACAAAACCUACCCACUCUCAAGGUUUGACCUCAGAUCAGACAAGGAUACCCGCUGAACUUAAGC
This 314-nucleotide unclassified non-coding RNA is filed under the name plant metagenome. RNAcentral describes it as "partial contains 5.8S ribosomal RNA, internal transcribed spacer 2, and large subunit ribosomal RNA". The stretch from base 1 to 105 matches the Rfam family "5.8S ribosomal RNA", at positions 50 to 154 of the family's 154-position model. The record is from RNAcentral.